UCCUAGACGGGGGAGGGGCUGCUUCCUUCCGCGAAGACUGGUGUGUGGUUCUUGGAAGGGCUCCAGGUGCUUGAAAAGGCUGUCUCAGCGGGUGACAGGUGGGUGGAGGACCGGGCGGGGAGGCGCAGGUCCAGGGCCCUCCCUGCCCCCCUAUCCUCCACCGGGUGGGUCUCAAUAUCCCCCGUACACACGCGCACCGCCCCCCCCACAUCCCCCCUCCCACACCCCGGGAGACGUGUUGGUGGCUUUGAGGGCCAGUUGAGAGAGAAGCCACUGGGCUGGGCAGGAGCUGGGCCUGCUGGGCUCUGCCCGUCCUUGACCCUGGGCUCAGCCUGGCUUUGGGUUUGGACGUGAGGACGGACAGAAGAGGGACAGGAAAGCCCAGCAGCCGCUCUGACCUGAGCUGGCCCGAGGGACCAGGAAGAGUUUGUGAUGUGGCUCAAACUGCCUGGGCCACCCCAGCCCCACUUGGGGGGGUGGGCAGCAUCUCUGGGAGGCCCCGCCCUUCUCUGUGGGUGGGGAAGGACCACCCUCCUGGGCGGAUGGGAGAGAGUGUGCCCUACUCAGGACCCAUUCAAGAGCCUCACUGGGAGUUCCCAGCUCGGUGGGUUAAGGCUGGUCCCUCAUUUCCAGCAGAAAACUGUUUUCCUGGACUGUCUUUUUCUUGGCUUACGGAUUUGUGACUGCACUUUCCCAAGAAGUGUUGAAGCUCGGCUCACAUUUUUGUGUGGAGAACCAGCUAACCCCUUCCUCAAAGUUUUUGUGAGGAAAAGUAAUUUAAAUGUUUGAAAAAGAGUUGUAACCUGGUAAAGUGCCUCCGAAGGCUGCUGAGUGCCUCAGAGAGCAGGUACCGCGUGCUUGCUGCGUGUGGGUGUUCGGGCCAGGUACUUUGGGGUUAUGUGUGUCAACGUGACCUGGUCCCUACCUGCCAUCACCUGGGGGGGGGGCUGUGAACAAUUCCUGUCAGUGUUGAUAGGAGACAGUGAGACUGUGCCAUCAACGGUAGUCUCCGUGACCCUGGACCCUCAGAACAAGCCUGCGAAGUAGGUACUAUCAUAUUACCUUCUAUGAGUAUCCCCAUUUAACAGAUGAGAAACUGAGGCCCAGAGGGAUGAAGUAGCUUGUCCAGGAUCAAAUACAUAGCAAAUACUGGAACUGGGAUUUGCAGCUGGCAAUUGAGAAGGAGGCUGGAAUCCAGAGAAGAGGGUUCUGGAGUUCAGAGGGGAGUCCAGCUUCCCACGGGGGGUGGGGGGGGAGGAAGGUGACCUGGGGUGGGUGCAGGCCAGAGCGGGGAACGUGUUUCCUAGGCAGCCUGCAGGGAAGACUGAAAAUGCCCCAUGUUUGGGGGUGGGGGAGACGCUGAUGAGAGUCUGGGGAGCACAGGAGGGGCACAGGGAGAGGUGGAGAUGUGGCACUCAACUGGGGCUCCCGGGGACUUUUUUUUUGGCCACCCGCAGCAUAUGGAGUUCUGGGCCAGGGAUUAGAUCCCAGUUGCAGGUGCCACCUAGCCUGCAGCUGUGGCAAUGCCAGCUCCUUAAUCCACCGUGCCGGGCUGGGGUUCAAAUCUGCGUCCCAGUGCUCCUAAGACACUGCCGAUCCCAUUGCACCGCAGGGUUUGACUUUUAAUGCAGGGGUGACAGAUGGCUGGUCUGUCCACAUGCUGUCACAUGGGCAGCUCCUACGGGUCACCAGCACCCUUCCUCCGUUUCUUCAAGGGACAAAGCGACUUUGCUCUAGAGCAGAACACUGAUCGUCCCACACAUAUGUCCCUACUUUUGUUGCUGUCGCUGUGAGGUUUUUAAACUGGAGACCAUUUCACUUUCACACACCAACCACAAUGUCGAAUAAAUUGGUUGAACUUGUAGAUUUAUAUCCGCA
RNAcentral lists this long non-coding RNA (1878 nucleotides) under Sus scrofa (pig). RNAcentral's name for it is "lncRNA (ENSSSCG00060061397.1)". The record is from RNAcentral. Lineage: Eukaryota; Metazoa; Chordata; Mammalia; Artiodactyla; Suidae.